GUGUGUCGGUGUGUGUGUGUGUGUCUGAGUGUGUUUGUGUGUGUGUGUGUGCGUAUGUGUUUGAACAGGCCUGGAUUCAGAUACAUUUUUCAUAUCUUGGUUCCGCAUUUGCUGGUUUGUUCAUCACAUCUCUCUGAUAAGAGACGGAGCUAAAAGAGCUGAAAGGGAAUCAGAACACAGCCUUAGAACUGACCUGAGAAAGAAGGGUGCACCUGUGUUCUCUCCGUUUUCCAUCAGGCCACCCAGUUCUCCCUAGUCGGGUAGGCCAUUCUUCUCUAUUCCUGGCACAGUUUCAAAAGAUGGCAGACUUUCGUCUCCUGGAAAACAUCUUCUCCCACCUACUCUUUCUAGGCCUUUUAACACUGUGUUUGAGUAUCUCUCAGCAUUCAUUCAACAAAGGUCAAAGGUUAUACAAUGAGCCAGAGAGCACCCCACUCUCCCAGACAGACAGUGGGCAGGGUUCCCCUGCUGGCAAUCCGUCAGACCCUCGGACCCUUCCAGAAGGGGGAACUCCUCCAGUAACAAAAUCUCUUCACAUCGACCUGAAGACUAGCUCUGCCUCAAAAGAGGGUCCGGCUCAAGUAGACGGUUCCACUUCUGAAACUUCCAGAGAACGUUCCCCACGGUCUGUUGGUUCCAGAGAGCAGGCUGGAGAAUCACAAGGAGAUCCCACGUCUCGUGAAAGAUUGUCUGUGUCUGUGACUACAAACCCUCUUUCUGCACUUGCAGAACAGACCACUGUUGGCAUGUAUCACCUGACAGGAACAUCCAUCACUCGAUCUCCAUUCAGUCUGAGAGUCCAUCACCAUGGUACUGUGAUGUUCCUUAUCUAAGCAAAAUCCUUCUCCUGCCUCUCCUGUUCCGUUUCCUACGUUUCCCAUCUUUUCCUGCUCUGCGUAACUGACUUAACUAAUCAGUGGCACUCUUCAGUGGUUCUGAUUGGCCAGCUCACGAGCAUGAUAACUACACUGACUUUAAAGGGACCAAACCAACCGAUGCAUACUCCACGAGAAGCACAGUGCCUGGGACGACACAGUCAGCCACAACCCCUGAAGGAUCCGGCUUUGGGGACGACCCUGGGUGGAUAGACGGUCCGGGGAAGAACUUUGUGUCCAGCGAGAGUACUGUGGAGACGACCAAAACAGAAGGGGAAAACAUCAAAGAACAAUAAUAAGAGAACUUGAAGAGCUCAGUGGCCACACACCCUUGCUCAUUUAUUUUAAAGGAAAGGCCUUUACAUGUAGGUGAACCGCACAAAGUCGAAAUGAUGUCACUCUGUUUGUACCUCAUUUGUGUUUUUACAUUUCCUUUUACAUUGUCAAUACUCUAUCACGUGGGCAUAGAUUUAGAUUCUGUCUUAGUACUUAGUACUAACUUUGUAGUUACCUUUUCUCUAUGUUCUGAUAACUUAAAAUCUCAAGUGCAAGUUCGAAAAAGACAUUGUAGAGGUAGAAUCUAGGUUGUUGAAUUCGCUUUUUUUAGCUUAAAAUGUUUCAAAUUCUAGUGGUUUACUGUAUUUGGUAUGAUUUGAUUAGAAAAGAGGUGUUACAUUUGCUUAAACUACACAGGAGGUUCUAUUUGCCUCAAACAUUCCACAUACAGAAAAAUUGAUAACACUUCGUUGUCCUAAGAAUAACAUUACCGUGGCAUAAAAAUGUCAUAGGAAGGGGGCAUGUCCUAUAACUUUCAUGACCAGAAUGAAAUCAUAUUACAAUUAUUAUUAUUAGUUCUAUUAUUAUUAUUAAUUAUUAAUAUAAUAAUAAUAAUAAUGUUGUAAUAGUAUCAUAUAAUUAUGAAAUAGAGAUUAUGGGUAAAUGCCACUAUUUAGUUUGUGCUUUGUAGAACAGGUCAUGAGAGUAAUAAGGUGACAGCUGUGUGGGUGUUCUUUUUUAGAGUAUGGUCAGGAUUACCAUUAUAGAGAAGCCCAUUGGCAAAAUUUAAGGGAGUUUUUGGAAAUGGGGGAUGUUUUUCUGUGUUCUUAAUGUGAAUUGGAUUACUGAUAAGUAACAUUGCUCAGCACACUUGCAAUUGUCACAAAGUUAGGUAUUUAGUGCUCAUGUGUGUAUCUUCCCUGUCACGAGAAAGAAAU
Long non-coding RNA from Clupea harengus (Atlantic herring), 2089 nucleotides. NCBI's taxonomy places the organism in Eukaryota, Metazoa, Chordata, Actinopteri, Clupeiformes, Clupeidae. The record is from Ensembl.